AUGCAUGUCUAAGUACAUACCGAAAUAAGGUGAAACCGCGAAUGGCUCAUUAAAUCAGUUACGGUUCCUUAGACUGUACUUUCCUACUUGGAUAACUGUGGUAAUUCUAGAGCUAAUACAUGCAUCAGAGCUCCGACCUUCGGGGACGAGCGCAUUUAUUAGACCAAGACCAAUCGGACUUAGGUCCGCAAACUGUGGUGACUCUGGAUAACUUUGAGCUGAUCGCACGGUCUAGCACCGGCGACGUAUCUUUCAAGUGUCUGCCUUAUCAACUUUCGAUGGUAGGUUAUGCGCCUACCAUGGUCGUUACGGGUAACGGGGAAUCAGGGUUCGAUUCCGGAGAGGGAGCCUGAGAAACGGCUACCACAUCCAAGGAAGGCAGCAGGCGCGCAAAUUACCCACUCCCGGCACGGGGAGGUAGUGACGAAAAAUAACAAUACGGGACUCUAUUGAGGCCCCGUAAUUGGAAUGGGUACAAUCUAAACCCUUUAACGAGUAUCCAUUGGAGGGCAAGUCUGGUGCCAGCAGCCGCGGUAAUUCCAGCUCCAAUAGCGUAUAUUAAAGUUGUUGUGGUUAAAAAGCUCGUAGUUGGAUCUCAGAUCCGGAGCUGCGGUCCACCGCCCGGUGGUUACUGUAGCGACCGGACGUUUGGCCGGAUUCCUUUGAUGCUCUUUGCCGAGUGUCUUGGGUGUCCGGCACGUUUACUUUGAAAAAAUUAGAGUGCUCAAAGCAGGCGUACCGCCUGAAUAAUGGUGCAUGGAAUAAUGGAAUAAGACCUCGUCUCUAUUUUGUUGGUUUUCGGAAAACGAGGAAAUGAUUAAGAGGGACAGACGGGGGCAUUCGUAUUGCGACGCUAGANGUGAAAUUCUUGGACCGUCGCAAGACGAACUACUGCGAAAGCAUUUGCCAAGAAUGUUUUCAUUAAUCAAGAACGAAAGUUAGAGGUUCGA
RNAcentral lists this ribosomal RNA (950 nucleotides) under Leiurus quinquestriatus (Egyptian scorpion). RNAcentral's name for it is "SSU rRNA". It matches the Rfam family "Eukaryotic small subunit ribosomal RNA", at positions 51 to 1001 of the family's 1831-position model. The record is from RNAcentral. Lineage: Eukaryota; Metazoa; Arthropoda; Arachnida; Scorpiones; Buthidae.